Molecule: ribosomal RNA, 492 nt
Filed under: uncultured bacterium
Lineage: Bacteria
Description: partial 16S ribosomal RNA
Rfam family: Bacterial small subunit ribosomal RNA
Source: RNAcentral
AGUGAACGCUGGCGGUAGGCCUAACACAUGCAAGUCGAACGGCAGCACAGUAAGAGCUUGCUCUUACGGGUGGCGAGUGGCGGACGGGUGAGGAAUACAUCGGAAUCUACUUUUUCGUGGGGGAUAACGUAGGGAAACUUACGCUAAUACCGCAUACGACCUACGGGUGAAAGCAGGGGAUCUUCGGACCUUGCGCGAUUGAAUGAGCCGAUGUCGGAUUAGCUGGUUGGCGGGGUAAAGGCCCACCAAGGCGACGAUCCGUAGCUGGUCUGAGAGGAUGAUCAGCCACACCGGAACUGAGACACGGUCCAGACUCCUACGGGAGGCAGCAGUGGGGAAUAUUGGACAAUGGGCGCAAGCCUGAUCCAGCCAUACCGCGUGGGUGAAGAAGGCCUUCGGGUUGUAAAGCCCUUUUGUUGGGAAAGAAAAGCAGCAGGUUAAUACCCCGCUGUUCUGACGGUACCCAAAGAAUAAGCACCGGCUAACUUCGUG